Molecule: non-coding RNA, 21 nt
Filed under: Caenorhabditis elegans
Lineage: Eukaryota; Metazoa; Nematoda; Chromadorea; Rhabditida; Rhabditidae
Source: RNAcentral
UCGAGGGAUUUAACCAGAAAC